RNAcentral lists this ribosomal RNA (253 nucleotides) under uncultured bacterium. RNAcentral describes it as "partial 16S ribosomal RNA". It matches the Rfam family "Bacterial small subunit ribosomal RNA", at positions 524 to 776 of the family's 1533-position model. The record is from RNAcentral.
GACGAAGGGGGCUAGCGUUGUUCGGAAUUACUGGGCGUAAAGCGCGUGUAGGCGGUUGUUCAAGUCAGGUGUGAAAGCCUUGAGCUCAACUCAAGAAAUGCACUUGAUACUGGAUGACUAGAGGACCGGAGAGGAUAGUGGAAUUCCCAGUGUAGUGGUGAAAUACGUAGAGAUUGGGAAGAACACCAGUGGCGAAGGCGGCUAUCUGGACGGUUUCUGACGCUAAGGCGCGAAAGCGUGGGGAGCAAACAGG